GCGGCCUGGUGCACGGCUGGGUCCUCGCGCGCUGCCGGCGUUCGGACGCCUGGAUCUUCGUCCAGGAGGCCCUGC
Molecule: transfer RNA, 75 nt
Filed under: Streptomyces brasiliensis
Lineage: Bacteria; Bacillati; Actinomycetota; Actinomycetes; Kitasatosporales; Streptomycetaceae
Description: tRNA-Gly
Source: RNAcentral